GAUGAAGAACGUAGCGAAAUGCGAUAAGUAAUGUGAAUUGCAUAAUUCAGUGAAUCAUCGAAUCUUUGAACGCACAUUGCGCCCCCUGGUAUUCCGGGGGGCAUGCCUGUCCGAGCGUCAUUACAACCCUCAAGCUCUGCUUGGUGUUGGGCCCCGCCGCCCCGGCGGGCCCUAAAGUCAGUGGCGGUGCCAUCCGGCUCCGAGCGUAGUAAUUCUUCUCGCUCUGGAGGUCCGGUUGUGUGCUUGCCAUCAACCCCCAAUUUUUUUCAGGUUGACCUCGGAUCAGGUAGGGAUACCCGCUGAACUUAAGCAUAUCAAUAAGCGGAGGA
Molecule: unclassified non-coding RNA, 329 nt
Filed under: soil metagenome
Description: partial contains 5.8S ribosomal RNA, internal transcribed spacer 2, and large subunit ribosomal RNA
Rfam family: 5.8S ribosomal RNA (bases 1-120)
Source: RNAcentral